RNAcentral lists this ribosomal RNA (445 nucleotides) under uncultured bacterium. Its description in RNAcentral is "bacterial SSU rRNA". It matches the Rfam family "Bacterial small subunit ribosomal RNA", at positions 29 to 507 of the family's 1533-position model. The record is from RNAcentral.
AACGAACGCUGGCGGCAGGCCUAACACAUGCAAGUCGAACGAGAAACCAGGGCUUGCUCUGGCGGAAAGUGGCAGACGGGUGAGUAACGCGUGGGAAUUUACCCAGUGGUACGGAAUAACUCAGGGAAACUUGUGCUAAUACCGUAUACGCCCUUCGGGGGAAAGAUUUAUCGCCAUUGGAUGAGCCCGCGUUAGAUUAGUUUGUUGGUGGGGUAAUGGCCUACCAAGACUACGAUCUAUAGCUGGUCUGAGAGGAUGAUCAGCCACACUGGGACUGAGACACGGCCCAGACUCCUACGGGAGGCAGCAGUGGGGAAUAUUGCACAAUGGGCGCAAGCCUGAUGCAGCCAUGCCGCGUGAGUGAAGAAGGCCUUAGGGUUGUAAAACUCUUUUGGCAGGGACGAUAAUGACGGUACCCGCAGAAUAAGCCCCGGCUAACUUCGUG